GGAGGGUGCAAGCGUUGUUCGGAAUUACUGGGCGUAAAGAGCGUGUAGGCGGUUUGGCAAGUCAGAUGUGAAAGCCCUGGGCUCAACCCAGGAAGUGCAUUUGAAACUGCCAUUCUAGAGUAUGGGAGAGGAGAGUGGAAUUCCCAGUGUAGAGGUGAAAUUCGUAGAUAUUGGGAGGAACACCCGUGGCGAAGGCGACUCUCUGGACCAAUACUGACGCUGAGACGCGAAAGCGUGGGGGAGCAAACAGGAUUAGAUACCCUGGUAGUCCACGCCGUAAACGAUGAGAACUAGGUGUAGCGGGUAUUGACCCCCCCCCUGCUGUGCCGUAGCUAACGCACUAAGUUCUCCGCCUGGGAGUACGGUCGCAAGGCUA
This 376-nucleotide ribosomal RNA is filed under the name uncultured organism. Its description in RNAcentral is "partial 16S ribosomal RNA". It matches the Rfam family "Bacterial small subunit ribosomal RNA", at positions 527 to 896 of the family's 1533-position model. The record is from RNAcentral.